AGUGAACGCUGGCGGUAGGCCUAACACAUGCAAGUCGAACGGCAGCACAGUAAGAGCUUGCUCUUACGGGUGGCGAGUGGCGGACGGGUGAGGAAUACAUCGGAAUCUACUUUUUCGUGGGGGAUCACGUAGGGAAACUUACGCUAAUACCGCAUACGACCUACGGGUGAAAGCAGGGGAUCUUCGGACCUUGCGCGAUUGAAUGAGCCGAUGUCGGAUUAGCUAGUUGGCGGGGUAAAGGCCCACCAAGGCGACGAUCCGUAGCUGGUCUGAGAGGAUGAUCAGCCACACUGGAACUGAGACACGGUCCAGACUACUACGGGAGGCAGCAGUGGGGAAUAUUGGACAAUGGGCGCAAGCCUGAUCCAGCCAUACCGCGUGGGUGAAGAAGGCCUUCGGGUUGUAAAGCCCUUUUGUUGGGAAAGAAAAGCAGCAGGUUAAUACCCCGCUGUUCUGACGGUACCCAAAGAAUAAGCACCGGCUAACUUCGUG
This 492-nucleotide ribosomal RNA is filed under the name uncultured bacterium. Its description in RNAcentral is "partial 16S ribosomal RNA". It matches the Rfam family "Bacterial small subunit ribosomal RNA", at positions 29 to 507 of the family's 1533-position model. The record is from RNAcentral.